Molecule: long non-coding RNA, 770 nt
Organism: Ictalurus punctatus (channel catfish)
Lineage: Eukaryota; Metazoa; Chordata; Actinopteri; Siluriformes; Ictaluridae
Exons: 3
Source: RefSeq, a predicted model, not a curated record
CCGUGGGCGUGGCUAACCGCGUCUGUCUGUUAAAGGUAGCAGGUUGUACAUGGCGAGCGGGUUACUCACUGAGGACUGGUGAUUGGUGUAAUGGAAGCCGUCUCUGAACCGCAUUUAAUGACGGAGAAUUACAGAAUUGGAGAGAAAACGCAGCACUGAGCAACUUGUAGACUUAACACCCGACUGUAGAAUCCCUUCUAUUGUGUGCUGGAAGAUCGCUGGACUUGAAGCAACUCCAAAUGGUGGCCUGUUUGUCCAAAGCCCAGGCUGACCCCCCACCCCUUCAACCUUUGCAGCAAUGCUGGCAGCACUAUUUCCCAAAGACAACCUCUGGAUAUGACGCUGAGCACGUGCAAUCAACUUCUUCUUUGGUCGACCAUGGCGAGGCCUGUUCUGAGUGGAACCUGUCCUGUUAAACCGCUGUAUGGUCUUGGCCACCGUGCUGCAGCUCAGUGUCAGGGUCUUCGUAAUCUUCUUAAAGCCUAGGCCAUUUUUAUGUAGAGCAAGAAUUCUUUUUUUUCACAUCCUCAGAGAGUUCUUUGCCUUGAGGUGCCAUGUCGAACUUCCAGUGACCAGUAUGAGGGAGUGUGAGAGUGAUGACACCAAAUUUUACACACCUGCUCCCCAUUCACACCUGAGACCUUGUAACACUAACAAGUCACAUGACACCGGGGAGGGAAAAUGGCUAAUUGGGCCCGAUUUGGACAUUUUUACUUGGGGGUGUACUCACUUUUGUUGCCAGCGGUUUAGACAUUGUGUGUUGAGUUAUU